UACAGAGGUCCCGAGCGUUGUUCGGAUUCAUUGGGCGUAAAGGGUGCGUAGGCGGUCUGCUAAGUUUGAUGUGAAAUCCCGGGGCUCAACCCUGGAAUGGCAUUGAAUACUGGUGGACUAGAGUACUGGAGAGGAAACUGGAAUUUACGGUGUAGCAGUGAAAUGCGCAGAUAUCAGGAGGAACACCAAUGGCGAAGGCAGCUCGCUGGGACGUGACUGACGCUGAGGUGCGAAAGCGUGGGGAGCAAACAGG
Molecule: ribosomal RNA, 253 nt
Filed under: uncultured bacterium
Lineage: Bacteria
Description: partial 16S ribosomal RNA
Rfam family: Bacterial small subunit ribosomal RNA
Source: RNAcentral